GGGGAUUUAGCUCAGCGGCAUAAGCGCCUGCCUUGCAAGCAGGCAGUCUUGAGUUGGAUCCCCG
Cavia porcellus (domestic guinea pig) is the source of this 64-nucleotide non-coding RNA. NCBI's taxonomy places the organism in Eukaryota, Metazoa, Chordata, Mammalia, Rodentia, Caviidae. The record is from Rfam.